Long non-coding RNA from Aethalodelphis obliquidens (Pacific white-sided dolphin), 5549 nucleotides. RefSeq lists it as uncharacterized. Lineage: Eukaryota; Metazoa; Chordata; Mammalia; Artiodactyla; Delphinidae. The transcript has 6 exons. The record is from RefSeq and is a predicted model, not a curated record.
GAUUUAAUAGAGCCAACCAGACCCUGCUCAUGUGCCCUGGCAAGCACAGCUAUCGAGUGGGCAAGCCCUGACAAUGGGGCAAGAGGGCACAGCAGGGGUAAGGAGGAACCCCAAGGACCAGUGGUACUGCCACCAUCCCACCGCCGAAACCAAGGCCCUCGUGCCCAGGCAUAUACUGGAGGGCUAGACAGUGAGGCCCUGCCCCCCUUUAGGGGUAUUGGUGGAGAUUCCUAAAAGGGAUGGAAAUCUCAGUCUCCAUCUCAACAGAUGGGUCCUCAGAUAGGCAUCUGCAAUUCUGAUGGAUAGCCAUCACCCAGUUUUCUUCCCCAUUGGUUCUCCAAAGGGAAAAGCCAAGCCCCCUCCCUCCAUGAACCUACUCUUCCAUCACAGAUUAGAAAGGCUCCAGGUUGAUCAGGCCGAUAGCCCUGGCAAUCACUCUCUUCCUCAGCCAGAAUGGUGAGUUGAAAACCUGUCAUUCACCAGCAAGAAGAGGAUCCAUGUCAGGCUCAUCUCCCUUCUUCUCUCUCCCUUCCCUUACCUACCCAUCCCUCCAUCUUUCUCAUGGUAUGGAGUGUCUUGUUUCUAUCUUACUUCUACUUCUUGUCCCCUUCUUGAGUUCUAGCCCUUUCUUUUAGGUUGGCAGACACCAGAGGGCAACAUAAUCUCACCUACUAGUCAGUUCUUUCAUUUCACCAGUAGAGGGAAGAGUUUGAGAGAACCUACAAGAACUAGGAGGUGUGUGGAAAUGAUUUUGAAAUAUGGAAUUAGCUAGCGCGAUAGAACUGCUCUCUUAAAGGCAUCUCGUGCCAAGGCAUUCUGUUCCCGUUGGUAAAUAAUCUGUUAUAAAACGGUUGCAAUGCAUAUUAACUCACCAGAGCAUGACACUGGCAAAAUUUCCCUCCAGGCUAUAUUUUGCAAAGAGACAACUUUUCAUGUGAUGUGAGACCUGAGAUUAAACUAACAGAAGUCCUACAUUAUUCAAGGUAACGCUGACACUCCAUCCCUCCCUCACUGCUUAGUCUUUUGAGAUCUGGUUUUUAUUUUGUUUCUGAAAUAAUUGGUAAGGCAUUUAGCCCUGAAUGGCUUGUUUUGAGUACCUGUCAUCAUAGGACUCUAGGCGCUUUGAGGGUGCUUGGAGCUUAGUUGGGCAAGUGAAGCUGAGUCAAUCAGAAGAAUUGAUUACGAACCAAGCAGCAGAGCUCUCGGGGCAAUAAGUGCCCAAGUAGCGCCUGCUAAACUUGCAAGAGCCUGCUUCACCAGGGCCUGCCCAUUCCGCCAUGCAUACUGAGGGAAUCAGGGCAGGUUCCUUUUGAAAACGGUUUGGAAGGAAGGAUUCAGAAGUUAAACUUGUGCCACUGAACUGACCAUUUACCAAAUAAUUACCCUGACCAAGUUAGCACUAAUACCUUUAAAAAGUAGACAACAUGGAACUAAGCAAUCUGCUCAACCAUUGCAAUUUGCUCAAUUGUUUGGAUCUAAUUACCUGGCCUGUGUAUUUUCUGCUUGGUGUCCCCAGCCUUUGAACCAUUUCGAAAGCCAGAGCUUUAUAGAAAGGGUCUUUGAGAACCCCUUUAGAUAGAGUCUGUGAUUCUAUCCUUCUUUAGAUGGAUUUUUUUAUCCGAGUUGCUGAAUUUAUCCAUAUAACUUUGCCUCCAUUUCUUCAUCAACAUCCUUUCUUUGAUUAAUUACCUAAAGCAAGGGUUCUUAUCCUGAGGUCCAGAAGUAGACUUGAGCACUUCCAUGAAUCCCUUGAAACUGUGAGUAAAAUUCUAUGUGUAUGUACAUAAUGGUCCUUCAGGUGAGGGGUGAGGGCCCAUAAAUGUCAUCAGAUUCUCAAAGGGCUCCAUGACCUCCAUCUUGCAACGAUGCAAUCAUGAUGUUCACCAGACCAGAAUUUCCCCAGUCAAUGUGCACGAAUUUGUUCCAGGUGUGUGCUUGAGCCUCUGAUUGCCUCAGCCCUUGAGCGACUGGACAGGGCCAGGCAUGGCUGGAGCUUCCAAGCUGCCCAGGCACUAUAAAAAUAUUAUUUUCUCUGUGUGCCACAGUGGAUAAAAUGUUGGAAGCACUACAGUAAAUUUUCACUUUUAUCACAUCCACCAUCUUUGUACUGUGCAUCUCUUGCUUCAUCUCCAUGGCCUUAAUUAUCCAGAGGGAAGCUUGGCACUGAUUUGGCCACCUGUGGUAUAAUCUGCACUUCAUAUCCUUUACCAGGAAAGCAAGUGGUGUGGUCGUCUCCUCUUCCCGAGAAUGCUCCCUGGCACACACAGCUUGGAAUUUGCUUUGCUGCCCACGUGGUGAUGUUAAAGUUAAUAUUUAGGGGAAAGGAGAAAAUGUUUGCUACAAUCUGACCGCUGCUCACCUCUGAAAAAGAAGUGACAAAAGGCCAGAUGUCAGCUCCAGGCCCCAAUGUGUGUUAAAACGACAUGUAACAGGAUUCACCUUGCGCUAACUGAUGUAGCUCCUGAAGCAGCGUGGAAUCCAAAGGAAGCUCGACGCUUACUGCUUCAAAACACACUUCCUCAUCAGGACCCCACCACCGCCACCUUCUGCAGAACCUGGAUCAUGAGCCACUAAUCAACGCCAACUGUUUGAAGAUGCAGGACAGAAGAAAUUCUGAAGGCUGCCGCUUCCUUAUACCUCCCUGAGAGCCGUCUUUGAGGAUUUAAGGCAAGAGAAUUAUUGAAACACAUUUCACUGAUUUAUUAUUAAUUGUCCCUUGGGUAAGCACAGAAAGUACCAAGCAGAGGAAGGCUGCAUGACUUGUGGUCACUGAAACACUUUCAAGUGUCUGCCCAGAUCCUGAAUUUCUGCCAUGAACAGGGGAACCAAAAUGAGGAAACACAAGUUAUAGAGAUUAGACUCCAGGUGAAGAGGAAGGGGGUGUAGGAAGGAGGUGUGGGGUACAGCUUGCUGAGUAGUGGGAGCAGAGACCAGGCAACUGAGGCAGCUGGCAGAGGAGGGAGGUGGAGGCUUGCUUUGGGAGCGAAGCCAGAGUCUACUGUCAGGGUGUGGGAUCCAGAAAAAUCCCACCGGUUAACAUGAAUAAAUGCCCACCAGCAGAAGGACAAAUACUGCUUCUGGUCCAAGAAACAGAGGCCUGAAUGGCCAAGGAAAGUAGAUUCUUAUCUUCGGGCAAGGGCCCAGCGACACACCAGCUCAGAAACAUGUCCCAAAGGAAGGGAGCAUCGUUACUGCCAGCUGAGCAUCUCCGAACCCCCAUCCAUGGAGGAAACAAGACGUGGGAUGAGAAAUAGGUGCACGUGCGCACAAACGCACACACAAGAAAAUAAAAGUGUUAGCCUGCUGCCUGAUCACACCCAAAUAAGGCAGACGUGCCCCAACCAGAUGUACCAGGCCUCUUCCAGAGAACUCAUUUGUUGUGGGCUGAUUUCUACUUCCUGGUGCAAUUUACUUGGGAAAAGGGGCCUUUCAUUGUUGAUAUUUUGUGAACUGGCCGGAACCAGAUAGACAAUAAUGACUUUACAAAUCUGAUUUUGCAGAAUCUGAAAAACACCCCUUGACUGUCGGUCCUCAGUACUUCCUUUCUGCUCACCCAGAGUCUUCUAUCUUUUAUUGAUUAGCACAGGCAUCGCAUGAGCCCCUUCUUAGGGCAAGGGACUAAAUCCAACAAGAGGUACCAUGUUGUUUUCAUUCCGCAAGGAUUUCACAGAUCUGAGAUCCACCUGCUGCGCAGGGGUACUGCGGAAAUGGGUCACUGGUGUGCCACGACCCUGGGCAUGUCCUCAGCCGUCGUCAGGUCAGUCAGGAUGCAGCCUGGGACACAGGAGUGCACUUCAGAUGGUCUCCCUUGCUGAGCUGUGAGCUCCCAGCGCUCAGAUGGAAUCUUCCUCUUCUUGGCAUGGACUUGAGCAACCCGCCCUGCUCCUGUCCUGCAGCCACAUCUACAUCACACGUUCAGAAGACGAGGCUGAGAGGGACUCCGUAUUGUCAAGGCAAGUGUGGGAUGCAGCACGCAGACCAACUUCGGAAUCCAGGAAAUACCCUUGACCGUGUCCAAGUGAGGCUCAUGUCCCCUGAGGAUGGCACUAAACGCAACAGAGGUAACGGGGCCUCCGAAGGAAGGACUUGUGGCCUUAAAGUACCCGGUCCCCUGGUACAGGAGGUGCCAGGCUGCCAGCAGUUACUUAGGAUGGGCUUUGCUUGAUAUAUGAGAGUGAAAACCAGGAAAUGCGGCCCAGUUUCUCUUUUGAAAUCCCUCCCUUGGUUAGAUUUGAAUCUCUUGUCUGUAUGCUUUGUUUCAAACUAAAUAUCAAAAGUCUCUCGCUUCUGUUAUCUCCCUGACAGUUCUUCAAUAUACUGUAUUAAAAACUCUCCGGGGACCAAAAAAAUGCACUUUCAAGUGGUGUUUAGAAACUUGCCACCCCUUGCCUUUCUUCAUUUCUGAAUCUCUUGGAUGCUUCAUAAACAAAGGAGAAAAGUGCUGCUUCUGUGAUAAAUACGUACACAGGAUUCCUCUGUCUUACAGAGAAAACAGUACAGACCCAGCUGUUUCCCAAUAGUCAUAGGACUCAUACCUAAUGCCGACAGACUACCAAGCGUAUCUGCACAAACUCUAUCACACACAGCACAUGGAAUCUCCAGGUGUGGCCGUGAAAGAAAACGGCAUGUUCUCCUUGUCAAAAAUUGCCCUCUCCUUGCCAGCCCCCUGCACCAAACUAACAACCACAGGACCUGAAUUUAACAGGUGAUGUUUCCCUUUGUUCUUCUGGAUGUUAUGUAUACUCAGGAGUAGCUCUCUCUGGGUUGUUCAAACACUUCAUUUAUUUAUUUAGUAUUUACUGAGUAUCUACUAUGUACCCCACAUAGUCAUGGAUUAAAGAGAUUCUUGCUUAGCUUCUGUAUUAGGAUUUCUCAACCUUGGUACUGUUGCCAUUUUGAGCCAGAGAAUUCUUUGUCAUGAGGCUGUUCCAUGCCUGGUAGGAUGUUUAGCAGCAUCCCUGGCCUCUACACACAAGAUACCGGCAGCACCUCCACCCCUAGUCGUGACAACCAAAAAUAUCCCCAGAAGUCAGUGAAAAGAUUUAGGGGAGGAGAGAGGGACGAAAAGGUAGAGCACAGAGGAUUUCUAGAGCAGUGAAACUAUCCUGAAUGAUACCAUAAUGGUGGAUACGUGUCAUUAUACAAUUGUCAAAAUCCAUAGAAUGUACAAUACCAAGAGUGAGCCCUAAAGUAAGUCUCCUGCCCUGGGGACUUGGGGUGAUAAUGAUGUGCCAGUGUUGGUUCGUUAGUUAUAACAAAUACGCCAGCCAGUCCCGUGUAGGCUGUUGAUAGUGGGGGCGGGCAGAGGGUAAUAGGAGAACCCUCAGUACCUUCCCCUCAACUGUGCUGUGAGCCUAAAACUUCUCUGAAAAAUAAAGUCUAUUAAAUUUUUUUUAUUUUAGGUGAAAAAAUGUUUUCAAGCAUUGCCAAUUGUCCCUGGAGGACAAAUUAUUUUUCAUCCUGUUAUAGACAUUAUCCUGCUCACAACAAUACAUUUUUUUAAAUUGUGGUAAAAUAUACACAUUAUAAAUUUUACCAUUUUAACCAUU